AGAAAAGUAGGUGCCGCCCCGCACAGGGGCGACGUUUGAAGCGAGACGACAAAGCAGGUUCAACGAAGGCGCUUGAUGACCAAAGUACCCACAGUCAUCA
Molecule: small RNA, 100 nt
Filed under: Paraburkholderia caribensis
Lineage: Bacteria; Pseudomonadati; Pseudomonadota; Betaproteobacteria; Burkholderiales; Burkholderiaceae
Description: Bp1_684
Rfam family: Burkholderia sRNA Bp1_Cand684_SIPHT
Source: RNAcentral